AAAAAUAACCCGCUAGGAGUAUUUAUUAGCUAAUAGAUGGUUGUACUGAUGGCUUGUUUUUCAUUUUUUUUAUGCUUUUUUGGUCCAUCUAUUAAUAAAAAUGAACCCGUUACAGAGUCACCAUCAUGUCUCUUCUCACCACCCUCUGAGUCUGCAUUAGCCAGUCAACUAGCCCUUUCAGCGUCAUGUGACCAGCGCGCCCCACGCAGCUUGGCUGGUGUCGUUUCACAUGACCCAGGCAUGGCCAGUCGUCAGGUUGCACCGCCCUUUGGUUCCCGAGCAUGCUGUUUUCUCUCAGCCUUCUCUCCAACCUUAACCAAAUCGGCAGCAGCCACCUCGACCGCCCACACAUUCCCGGCCAAUCAGCUCAGCUGUUUAUUUACCAAAUGUGUCUUCACAACAACUACAGCAGCAGCCUUCGGCUAACAAAAAAGCAGGAAAAAUCCACAACACCCCCUUCGCCAACCAACUAAAUCCAACGCAACAUCUGGCAAAACCUUUUCAGCAAAUUCUUCUUGGCAGUCAGUCCGGCAGCCUCACCUCACCAUUUCUAGCUUGUUGAAACCAAAGACUAAUCACCGCGAAGGAGAAGCUUCUCCCGGAGCCGCAGCAGGUCCCUCUCCAGAGACAGAAGAAGAGAGAGAUCACUCUCACGGGAGAGGAACCACAAGCCUUCUCGCUCCUUUUCCAGGUCUCGCAGUCGCUCCAGGUCAAAUGAGAGGAAAUAGGACUGUGGGAAGGAGCUGUGUACAGGAAGUCACGAGACCUGAGGGCCAGGAGGAGUAUGUACAGAACAUUGUUUUGUUUCGAAACUUCAUAAAGCUUUUGGUGCAUUUUUAAAAUGUUUUAGCUGUCGAACUCGCUUUGUUCCUUGUAUCUUGUAACAGGUGGCAAAUGUAAAGAUGUGAAUCUGUAUAUGGUUUCUGAGCAGAUCCUAUGAUUUGUAAUAUUAAUGGUUUUCCAAUGUACCAUUAGAUGUGGUUGGUGUGUGUGUGGAAUGGUGAGCAGUCUGUGUCUGCAGCUGGAGAGUGCUGCUGGGCUGGGG
Molecule: long non-coding RNA, 1045 nt
Organism: Acanthisitta chloris (rifleman)
Lineage: Eukaryota; Metazoa; Chordata; Aves; Passeriformes; Acanthisittidae
Exons: 4
Source: RefSeq, a predicted model, not a curated record